GAUGAACGCUAGCUACAGGCUUAACACAUGCAAGUCGAGGGGAAACGACAUCGAAAGCUUGCUUUUGAUGGGCGUCGACCGGCGCACGGGUGAGUAACGCGUAUCCAACCUGCCCACCACUUGGGGAUAACCUUGCGAAAGUAAGACUAAUACCCAAUGAUAUCCCACGAAGGCAUCCGAAUGGGAUUAAAGAUUUAUCGGUGAUGGAUGGGGAUGCGUCUGAUUAGCUUGUUGGCGGGGUAACGGCCCACCAAGGCAACGAUCAGUAGGGGUUCUGAGAGGAAGGUCCCCCACAUUGGAACUGAGACACGGUCCAAACUCCUACGGGAGGCAGCAGUGAGGAAUAUUGGUCAAUGGGCGAAAGCCUGAACCAGCCAAGUGGCGUGAGGGAAGACUGCCCUACGGGGUUGUAAACCCUCUUUUGUUUGGGAAUAAAGUGCGGGACGUGUCCCGCAUUGCAUGUACCAUUUGAAUAAGGACCGGCUAAUUCCGUG
This 494-nucleotide ribosomal RNA is filed under the name uncultured bacterium. Its description in RNAcentral is "bacterial SSU rRNA". It matches the Rfam family "Bacterial small subunit ribosomal RNA", at positions 28 to 507 of the family's 1533-position model. The record is from RNAcentral.